This 253-nucleotide ribosomal RNA is filed under the name uncultured bacterium. RNAcentral's name for it is "partial 16S ribosomal RNA". It matches the Rfam family "Bacterial small subunit ribosomal RNA", at positions 524 to 776 of the family's 1533-position model. The record is from RNAcentral.
GACGUAGGGACCGAGCGUUGUCCGGAUUUAUUGGGCGUAAAGCGCGCGCAGGCGGCCGUGCAAGUCGGAUGUGAAAAUCCGGAGCUCAACUCCGGACCUGCAUUCGAAACUGCACGGCUAGAGGUAGGUAGGGGAGAUCGGAAUUCCUGGUGUAGCGGUGAAAUGCGCAGAUAUCAGGAGGAACACCGGUGGCGAAGGCGGAUCUCUGGGCCUUACCUGACGCUCAGGCGCGAAAGCUAGGGGAGCGAACAGG